AGAACGUCUCAACAUACUCGCCGUAGAAUCUGCCACUGGGCUGGCCCGACGGCGUCUGGUAGAGAAAAUAAAAACAGCUGUUCAUCAUCUUCAAACUGAAUAUUAUCUCCUUGUUGACUUAAAGGUAAAUAAGUGUUGAGCGUCAUGGCGACCAGCGAGACCAGCACAAGUAUGGAGGAGGCGACCCCCAUCAGCUUGGCAGAGACCGAGGAGAACGGUUUCUCCAUCAGGUUCCAGAUUUUCCUUCGGGUUGGUCCGAAGGCCAUGCCGUGAAAUACCGCCUCGUUCUCCUCCAUCUCCACCUAGAGGACACGAGACAGAAAUAUGGUUACAGAAUGGAAACAAGAAAAAAAGUUUCAUUGCAAUACAUUUAAAAACAGUCCAAAUAUGGCCUAAUGUUGAAAUUAAAUGUUGAAUUUUUUUCCCUAGACUAUCUAAGGAUAAAAACAGAAACAAAACAGAUUACUCAUUAAGUGUAAAAUAAAAGAGCACAUAAAAACUAUGUAUGUAUAUAAGUAAUGUGUAAAUUAAAGGUUUAAAAAAACUAAUUUAAACGAGGACAAAGCGAAACAAGCAAGCAAACAAAAUGUCACGAAAACACAACUGGUCCAACAAACUGCAUCAGAGUGGGACCUCUGUGAUGGCAACAUCUGUCUCAGCCUGUGCCAAGAAAAAGCUUAUUCUCCACUCUCCAUCUGUCGAGACGGCAGAGCGGAGAGCUGAUAUAUAAUGUAGGUCAGACAGACUCAGAGUCAGCCAGCAGUUUACUGACUAAAAUCUCACAGGUAAAAAUAAAAACUGCUGAGCUGAUAAAGCUACUCAGUGAUGACUUCUUGACAUUUUUAUUUGCAGCAUUUACAUAUGGAGCCUGGAGGGGGGGAAUGUAAUAAUUAGUGCACACAAAAUACUAAGUCAAUACAUAGUUCAUAGGGACUAGUUCCAACUGGGUCAUGUUACUUUUGUUCUUACUCUGUAAUGGAUGUGAUUUGAAAUGUCGUGAAGUGCAAUAAGAAUGAAAAUUCUAUAUACAAAAUAUCAAGAAGUACACACACUAAAUGCUAACAUCAGCAUUGUGCUAACUCACAAUGACCUGCUAAUAUGCUAAUGUUUUCAGCGGUGUAUAAAGACCCUUUAUAAUGAA
Long non-coding RNA from Micropterus salmoides (largemouth bass), 1141 nucleotides. RefSeq lists it as uncharacterized. The transcript is spliced from 3 exons. NCBI's taxonomy places the organism in Eukaryota, Metazoa, Chordata, Actinopteri, Centrarchiformes, Centrarchidae. The record is from RefSeq and is a predicted model, not a curated record.